RNAcentral lists this ribosomal RNA (207 nucleotides) under uncultured bacterium. Its description in RNAcentral is "partial 16S ribosomal RNA". It matches the Rfam family "Bacterial small subunit ribosomal RNA", at positions 568 to 774 of the family's 1533-position model. The record is from RNAcentral.
CGCGUAGGCGGGCUGUUUAGUCAGUGGUGAAAUCCCGAGGCUCAACCUCGGAAUUGCCUUUGAUACUGGCAGCCUUGAGUUCGAGAGAGGUGAGUGGAAUUCCGAGUGUAGAGGUGAAAUUCGUAGAUAUUCGGAGGAACACCAGUGGCGAAGGCGGCUCACUGGCUCGAUACUGACGCUGAGGUACGAAAGCGUGGGGAGCAAACA